GCUACCACGCGAGUGGAUGCCAAUCCCAAAACCUCUCUCAGUUCGGACUGGAGUCUGCAACCCGACUCCACGAAGCUGGAUUCGCUAGUAAUCGCGCAUCAGCCACGGCUCGGUGAAUACGUUCCCGGGCCUUGUACACACCGCCCGUCAAGCCAUGGGAGCCGGGGGUACCUGAAGUGCGUAACCGCGAGGAGCGCCCUAGGGUAAAACUGGUGACUGGGGCUAAGUCGUAACAAGGUAAC
Molecule: ribosomal RNA, 242 nt
Filed under: uncultured bacterium
Lineage: Bacteria
Description: partial 16S ribosomal RNA
Rfam family: Bacterial small subunit ribosomal RNA
Source: RNAcentral